GUAACAAGGUUUCCGUAGGUGAACCUGCGGAAGGAUCAUUAACGAGUUAGGGUCCCUCGCGGCCCGACCUCCCAACCCUUUGUCUACCUGACCACUGUUGCUUCGGCGAGCCCGUCUGUAAUGGACCGCCGGGGGGUACCUUGAUCGGCCCUCUGGUCCGCGCUCGUCGAUAGCCAAACUUUUAAAAUCUUAACCAAACGUGUCUCAAUCUAAGUAUUAUUUGUUAAAUAAAAGCAAAACUUUCAACAACGGAUCUCUUGGUUCUGGCAUCGAUGAAGAACGCAGCGAAAUGCGAUAAGUAAUGCGAAUUGCAGAAUUUCAGUGAGUCAUCGAAUCUUUGAACGCACAUUGCGCCCUUUGGUAUUCCGAAGGGCAUGCCUGUUCGAGCGUCAUUAUCACCCCUCAAGCCCCCGGCUUGGUGUUGGACGGUUUGGUGGAGGCCCCCUCGCGGGGCCACCGCCCCUCCCAAAGACAAUGACGGCGGCCUCGUUGGACCCCCGGUACACUGAGUUCUUCACGGGACACGUAUCGGACACAUGGGUUUACGGGACACGGUCUGCCUCCCCUCAGGGAGAAUCUUUCUAAGGUUGACCUCGGAUCAGGUAGGGAUACCCGCUGAACCUAAGCAUAUCA
RNAcentral lists this unclassified non-coding RNA (633 nucleotides) under Exophiala pisciphila. RNAcentral's name for it is "sequence contains 18S rRNA gene, ITS1, 5.8S rRNA gene, ITS2, 28S rRNA gene". The stretch from base 238 to 392 matches the Rfam family "5.8S ribosomal RNA". The record is from RNAcentral. Lineage: Eukaryota; Fungi; Ascomycota; Eurotiomycetes; Chaetothyriales; Herpotrichiellaceae.